Molecule: ribosomal RNA, 253 nt
Filed under: uncultured bacterium
Lineage: Bacteria
Description: partial 16S ribosomal RNA
Rfam family: Bacterial small subunit ribosomal RNA
Source: RNAcentral
UACGGGGGGGGCAAGCGUUGUUCGGAAUUACUGGGCGUAAAGCGCACGUAGGCGGGUCGUUAAGUCAGGGGUGAAAUCCCGGAGCUCAACUCCGGAACUGCCUUUGAUACUGGCGACCUUGAGGCUGGAAGAGGUUAGUGGAAUUCCCAGUGUAGAGGUGAAAUUCGUAGAUAUUGGGAAGAACACCAGUGGCGAAGGCGGCUAACUGGUCCAGAUCUGACGCUGAGGUGCGAAAGCGUGGGGAGCAAACAGG